UUGAAAUCCAUUGACACUGAAGUGCUCUAUUUAUCCGCAGAGCAGGUAAAGCAUGGGCAACUACAGUACAGUCUUCUUCACAAUGCAGCACCUGAAAUCUAAACCGGAGACAUCUAUAGGAGUGAGAUCAUACUUCAGAUUCCAUGUGAAUUCAAUCUUUGGUUUCU
This 167-nucleotide small RNA is filed under the name Gopherus agassizii (Agassiz's desert tortoise). RNAcentral's name for it is "TUC338 (ENSGAGG00000001789.1)". Lineage: Eukaryota; Metazoa; Chordata; Testudines; Testudinidae. The record is from RNAcentral.